GGAAUAUUGGGCAAUGGGCGAAAGCCUGACCCAGCAACGCCGCGUGAAGGAAGAAGGUUUUCGGAUUGUAAACUUCUGUCCUAUGUGAAGAGUAGUAGACGGUAGCAUAGGAGGAAGCCCCGGCUAACUACGUGCCAGCAGCCGCGGUAAUACGUAGGGGGCGAGCGUUGUCCGGAAUGAUUGGGCGUAAAGGGCGCGUAGGCGGCUUGAUAAGUCUGGAGUGAAAGUCCUGUUUUCAAGAUGGGAAUUGCUUUGGAUACUGUUGAGCUUGAGUGCGGGAGAGGUUAUCGGAAUUCCCGGUGUAGCGGUGAAAUGCGUAGAGAUCGGGAGGAACACCAGUGGCGAAGGCGGGUAACUGGACCGCAACUGACGCUGAGGCGCGAAAGUGUGGGGAGCAAACA
RNAcentral lists this ribosomal RNA (401 nucleotides) under uncultured bacterium. Its description in RNAcentral is "bacterial SSU rRNA". It matches the Rfam family "Bacterial small subunit ribosomal RNA", at positions 358 to 774 of the family's 1533-position model. The record is from RNAcentral.